Molecule: ribosomal RNA, 539 nt
Filed under: uncultured bacterium
Lineage: Bacteria
Description: bacterial SSU rRNA
Rfam family: Bacterial small subunit ribosomal RNA
Source: RNAcentral
AAUAGAUACCCGGGUAGUCCACGCCCUAAACGAUGGAUGCUAGGUUUGCGGGGUAUCGACCCCCUGUGAGCCGUAGGUAACCCGUUAAGCAUCCCGCCUGGGGACUACGACCGCAAGGUUAAAACUCAAAGGAAUUGACGGGGGCCCGCACAAGCAGCGGAGCGUGUGGUUUAAUUCGAUGCUAAGCGAAGAACCUUACCAGGGCUUGACAUGUAAGUGGUACUGAGUCGAAAGAUGAGGGACCCGCAAGGGAGCUUACACAGGUGCUGCAUGGUUGUCGUCAGCUCGUGCCGUGAGGUGUUGGGUUAAGUCCCGCAACGAGCGCAACCCUUGUCGCUAGUUAAAUUCUCUAGCGGGACUGCCCCUAAAAGGGAGGAAGGGAGGGGAUGAUGUCAAAUCAUCAUGGCUUCUUACGUCCGUGGGCUACACACACGCUACAAUGGCCAGUACAGACGGUUGCUAAAUCGCGAGAUGGAGCCAAUCCGAUAAAGCUGGUCUCAGUUGGGAUUGCAGGCUGAAACCCGCCUGCAUGAACGUGG